UACGUAGGGCGCGAGCGUUAUCCGGAAUUAUUGGGCGUAAAGAGCUCGUAGGCGGUUUGUCACGUCUGCUGUGAAAACUGGAGGCUCAACCUCCAGCCUGCAGUGGGUACGGGCAGACUAGAGUGCGGUAGGGGAGAUUGGAAUUCCUGGUGUAGCGGUGGAAUGCGGAGAUAUCAGGAGGAACACCGGUGGCGAAGGCGGGUCUCUGGGCCGAUACUGACGCUGAGGAGCGAAAGCGUGGGGAGCGAACAGG
This 253-nucleotide ribosomal RNA is filed under the name uncultured bacterium. Its description in RNAcentral is "partial 16S ribosomal RNA". It matches the Rfam family "Bacterial small subunit ribosomal RNA", at positions 524 to 776 of the family's 1533-position model. The record is from RNAcentral.